Molecule: ribosomal RNA, 494 nt
Filed under: uncultured bacterium
Lineage: Bacteria
Description: bacterial SSU rRNA
Rfam family: Bacterial small subunit ribosomal RNA
Source: RNAcentral
GACGAACGCUGGCGGCGUGCCUAACACAUGCAAGUCGAGCGGGUGAGCGAGGGUAACGUCAAGCUUCUACCUAGCGGCGGACGGGUGAGUAACGCGUGGGCAACCUGCCUCAAGGUCUGGGAUAACAGCUCGAAAGGGCUGCUAAUACCGGAUAUGCCUAUGGCCUCGCAUGGGGCUAUGAGCAAAGGGGAAACCUGCCUUGAGAUGGGCCCGCGUCCCAUCAGCUAGUUGGUGAGGUAACAGCUCACCAAGGCGACGACGGGUAGCCGGCCUGAGAGGGUGACCGGCCACACUGGGACUGAGACACGGCCCAGACUCCUACGGGGGGCAGCAGUGGGGGAUCUUGCACAAUGGGCGAAAGCCUGAUGCAGCGACGCCGCGUGAGCGAAGAAGGCCUCGGUUGUAAGCUCUGUCUGGAGGGACGAAGGAAGUGACGGUACCUCCGGAGGAAGCCACGGCUAACUACGUGCCAGCAGCCGCGGUAAACAUACUCG